This 947-nucleotide ribosomal RNA is filed under the name uncultured bacterium. Its description in RNAcentral is "bacterial SSU rRNA". It matches the Rfam family "Bacterial small subunit ribosomal RNA", at positions 523 to 1482 of the family's 1533-position model. The record is from RNAcentral.
AUACGGAAGGUCCGGGCGUUAUCCGGAUUUAUUGGGUUUAAAGGGAGCGUAGGCCGGAGAUUAAGCGUGUUGUGAAAUGUAGAUGCUCAACGUCUGCACUGCAGCGCGAACUGGUUUCCUUGAGUACGCACAAAGUGGGCGGAAUUCGUGGUGUAGCGAUGAAAUGCUUAGAUAUCACGAAGAACUCCGAUUGCGAAGGCAGCUCACUGGAGCGCAACUGACGCUGAAGCUCGAAAGUGCGGGUAUCGAACAGGAUUAGAUACCCUGGUAGUCCGCACGGUAAACGAUGGAUGCCCGCUGUUGGUCUGAAUAGGUCAGCGGCCAAGCGAAAGCAUUAAGCAUCCCACCUGGGGAGUACGCCGGCAACGGUGAAACUCAAAGGAAUUGACGGGGGCCCGCACAAGCGGAGGAACAUGUGGUUUAAUUCGAUGAUACGCGAGGAACCUUACCCGGGCUUGAAUUGCAGAGGAAGGAUUUGGAGACAAUGACGCCCUUCGGGGUCUCUGUGAAGGUGCUGCAUGGUUGUCGUCAGCUCGUGCCGUGAGGUGUCGGCUUAAGUGCCAUAACGAGCGCAACCCCUCUCCUUAGUUGCCAUCAGGUCACGCUGGGCACUCUGGGGACACUGCCACCGUAAGGUGUGAGGAAGGUGGGGAUGACGUCAAAUCAGCACGGCCCUUACGUCCGGGGCUACACACGUGUUACAAUGGCAGGUACAGAGAGAUGGUGUUCUGCAAAGCGCAUCUAAUCCUUAAAGCCUGUCUCAGUUCGGACUGGGGUCUGCAACCCGACCCCACGAAGCUGGAUUCGCUAGUAAUCGCGCAUCAGCCAUGGCGCGGUGAAUACGUUCCCGGGCCUUGUACACACCGCCCGUCAAGCCAUGAAAGCCGGGGGCGCCUAAAGUCCGUGACCGUAAGGAGCGGCCUAGGGCGAAACUGGUAAUUGGGGCU